AUGGAUACCUUGGCAUUAAAUAAAGAGGACGUAAGUAUGCGAAAAGUUACAGGGAGUUUAAUACUGUGAUCUGUAAAUUUCCUUGAGUAAACUCAUUUAAUUUUUUUUCUAUUUAAUGAAUUGAAACAUCUUAGUAAUUAAAAGUAAAAUAAAUCAAACGAGAUUUCAUUAGUAGCGGUGAGCGAAUGUGAAUUAGGCCUUUUAUUUGUAUUAAUCAGUAGAAAAUUUUCGAAUAAAUUACCAUAGAGAGUAAAAGUCUCGUAUAUAAAAAAUUAAUACUUAUAAGUGAGUAAAACGAAAUUUAUGUUUUUUUGUUUGAAUAUAGGGAAACCAUUCUCUAAGCCUAAAUAUUGUUUAAUGACCGAUAGUGAACGAAGUACUGUGAAGGAAAGGUGAAAAGGAUAUUAAUUGAAAGGAAGUAGAGUAUAGGUGAAAAGUUCUUGAAAUUAAGAGUUUUCAAGCAAUUGAAAUAAAUAAAAAAAAUUUUAUUUGUAACAAUGUACCUUUUGUAUAAUGGGUCAGCGAGUUAAUUUUAUUAGCGAGUUUAAGCUAAUAAGUGUAGACGAAGCGAAAGCGAAUUUGAAAAAUAGUGUAUAGUUAAUAGAAUUAAACCCGAAACCAAAUGAUCUAAUUAUGUGCAGGUUGAAUUUAUGUUAACACGUAAUAGGAGGACCGAACCCACAUCUGUUGAAAAAGAUGGGGAUGACAUGUAAUUAGGGGUGAAAGGCUAAUCAAAUUUGGAGAUAGCUGGUUUUCUACGAAAUUUAUUUAAGUAAAGUGUUUUUUUUUUUUUUUAAGGGUAGAGCACUUAAUGGAUGAUGGGGAGUGUAUUCUUACUGAUUUCAAGUAAACUUCGAAUAUUAAAUAAAAUUUAAAAGCAAACAGACUGUGGGUGCUAAGAUGCAUAGUCAAAAGGGAAAAAGCCCAGAUUAAAAGUUAAGGUCCUUAAAAACAAUUUAGUGAGAAAGAUGUAAACAAUACCAAGACAAUCAAAAGGUAGGCUUAGAAGCAGUCAUCCUUUAAAGAAAGCGUAAUAGCUCAUUGAUUUAUUUAAGUUUGUUUUUAUCAAUAAUUUAUAGGGACUGUAAAUUGUUUACCGAAACUUUAAAAAGAAUUUUUAAUUCUUUGGUAGUAGAACGUUUUGUAUUUUAGUGAAGUUAAAUUGUGAAAUUUAAUGAAGAAAUCAAAAUUGAGAAUGCUGACAUGAGUAACGAUAAAUAACAUAUUGAGAACAAAAAUUGUUAUCGCCGUAAGUUUAAGGUUUUCUGUGUAAAGUUCAGCUGCAUAGAGUUAGUCGGUCCCUAAGAAUAAAAUGAAAAUUAAAUUUGAUGGGCAUUAAUAUUAAUAUUUUUAAACAAUUUUUUUAUAUAGUGACAAAUUUUUAACUUUAAUUUUAAAUUAUUAGAUUUUUAUUGUUAAUUUAAAAAUUUCGAGAAAAAACUAUAAAAAUAAAAACCGUACUAAAACCAACACAGGUGAACUAGUAAAAGUAUACUAAGGCGCGUGAGAGAACAAUAUUGAAGGAACUCGGCAAAAUGACUCUGUAACUUUUGAAUAAAGAGUGUUUUUUUAAAGAAUUUUUUUAAAAGAAUGUGACAGAAUAGAGGGUAGCGACUGUUUAAUAAAAACACAGGACUCUGCUAAAUUGUAAAAUGAAGUAUAGGGUCUGACGUCUGCCCGGUGCUGCAAGAUUAAGAGGAGAAGUUAACGCUUUGAAUUUAAGUCCCAGUAAACGGCGGCUGUAACUCUGACGGUCCUAAGGUAGCGAAACUCCUUGUCGAGUAAUUUUCGACCUGCAUGAAUGACGUAACGACUUCCCUACUGUCUCCAGUAUUGACUCAGUGAAAUUGAAUUUUUCGUGAAGAUGCGAAAUUUUUACAGAUAGACGGAAAGACCCUGUGCACCUUUACUAUAGUUAUAAAUUAUAAGAGAAAGCAAAAUAUGUAGAAUAGAUAUUAGUUUAUAAUCCUUUGAUGCAAAUUAACAGGGGAGACUUCUCUGAAAUAGUAUUUUUUUUAUUUUCUUUUAUUAACUUUUUUUUUAUAAAAAGGACAUUUUAUAAUGGGUAGUUUAACUGGGGCGGUUGCCUCCUAAAGAGUAACGGAGGUAUACAAAGGUAAGCUCAAAAAAGUUUCAUAUUUUUUGAAGAGUGCAAUGGCAUAAGCUUGCUUAACUGUUAGAUUUACUAAUCAAACAGAGACUUUAAAGUCGGUCAUAGUGAUCCGGUGAUUCUGAAUGGAAAGAUCAUCGCCUAUGGAUAAAAGGUACGCCAGGGAUAACAGGCUAAUGAUUCUUGAGAGCUCAUAUCGACGGGAUCGUUUGGCACCUCGAUGUCGAUUCAUCACAUCCUGGAGCUGAAGAAGGUUCCAAGGGUUCGGUUGUUCGCCGAUUAAAGUGGUACGUGAAUUGGGUUUAGAACGUCGUGAGACAGUUCGGUCCCUAUCUUCUGUAAACUUUAGAAAAUUGAGAAAUCUUGACUUUAGUACGAGAGGACCAAGAAAAAUAUGUCAAUGGUGCAUUGAUUGUUGUGCUAACAGCAUCGUCAAGUAGCUAAACAUUAAUUUAUAACCGCUGAAAGAAUAUAAGUGGGAAGAAAAUUUCGAGACUGAUUUUCUUUUAAGAUUCGUAAAAGAACAUUACGUAUAAAAUAGGUAAAGUGUAUAAGUAUUGCAAAAUAUUUAGCAUAUUUAUUACUAA
RNAcentral lists this ribosomal RNA (2697 nucleotides) under Paravannella minima. RNAcentral's name for it is "23S ribosomal RNA". It matches the Rfam family "Bacterial large subunit ribosomal RNA". The record is from RNAcentral. Lineage: Eukaryota; Discosea; Flabellinia; Vannellidae.